RNAcentral lists this transfer RNA (77 nucleotides) under Acidobacteriota bacterium. RNAcentral's name for it is "Acidobacteria bacterium tRNA-Val". It matches the Rfam family "tRNA". From Rfam's summary of the family: Transfer RNA (tRNA) molecules are approximately 80 nucleotides in length. Their secondary structure includes four short double-helical elements and three loops (D, anti-codon, and T loops). Further hydrogen bonds mediate the characteristic L-shaped molecular structure. tRNAs have two regions of fundamental functional importance: the anti-codon, which is responsible for specific mRNA codon recognition, and the 3' end, to which the tRNAs corresponding amino acid is attached (by aminoacyl-tRNA synthetases). tRNAs cope with the degeneracy of the genetic code in two manners: having more than one tRNA (with a specific anti-codon) for a particular amino acid; and 'wobble' base-pairing, i.e. permitting non-standard base-pairing at the 3rd anti-codon position. RNAcentral also lists the same sequence under 1 other name. The record is from RNAcentral. Lineage: Bacteria; Pseudomonadati; Acidobacteriota.
GGGCAGUUAGCUCAGUUGGUUAGAGCGCCUGCCUUACAAGCAGGAGGUCGCAGGUUCGAGUCCUGCACUGCCCACCA